This is a long non-coding RNA of Lucilia sericata (common green bottle fly), 777 nucleotides long. RefSeq lists it as uncharacterized. NCBI's taxonomy places the organism in Eukaryota, Metazoa, Arthropoda, Insecta, Diptera, Calliphoridae. The record is from RefSeq and is a predicted model, not a curated record. The transcript is spliced from 3 exons.
UCCAGCCGGCUUGGACGUAGUACGUAAAAUUGUGAUAAUAAUAAAAAAAUUUUAAAAAAUACGUGAAUGAAAACAACUGAAAUGUUACUGAACCCCAAAAAACUUGUUUAAGAAGCAUAAUCUCAACCUCAUAUAUAAAACAACAAAAAUUAAUAAUACAAAUAAUUUUUAAGUUGUUUUAAUUUUGACCUUUAAAACAAGAAAUCACUCUCAAAAUAAUACAGAUUUUUUGAGAAUAUGUAAAACUGUAUGAAAGACUUUUUCGAAAGCUAGAAUGGCGAUAUUAGCGAAUACAAUUUACUUAAGGUCGUAGUGGACUUUAAUAAAGCCAUAACCGAAUUCUUCGAAAACUCUGCAUCAUAUCAAGCUGCUGAGACUUUACGUCAUACUGGAAUGAAUUAAACUUGUUAAAAAUCAAAGAUUAACAAUUGGAAACUUUAUAAAUCGGAAAGAGGAGUAAAAGAAUAUGUUGACACUAAGUUUGCUAGUACUACAAAAAGUUGAGAAUCCCUAAAGGAAGUAAAAUUUGCACUCACCACUACAGAAACAGAAUAAAUGUAUCUCCUUUUUAUCUUUGCAGAGAUCUAUGAAUAUUUCGGUUAUAACAGAAUUGUACCAAACUGCCCUGUUUCUUCAUUUGAUGUAAAAGAUAUGCUAUUAGUUUUGUGAGUGCCUACAGAUUUAUCAACGAAUGGUAUAUUUGUUGUUCUCUUUAGAUGACCAAGGAAAGAUUUUUGCAUUCAUGUAAUGAUAAAAUUUUAAUGUAAUUCCAUUUUA